GAAGAAGCCAAGAAUUGGGAGUUUUCUGCUGAUGAUGCUAUGCUAAGCUGGGCAGAGAGACCAUGGCGAGUGAGUACCAUGAAUUUUCCUACCAGCUUCAGUGUGGCUGAUUUUAGCUUGCCUGUGAUGCAGGAGCCUUUUAACUAGUUUCUGGAUUUCUCUUGAAGGGAAUCGAUCUGUGUAUUUUUGCUUGUUGACUUGGUGUCUCCUUUGGAGGAAGGAAGUUUUCUGACUUUAUCUAUUCUGCCAUCUUCCUGACAUCACCAGUCUCUAUUUUAUUAUUUGUUUUCUUUUUGUUUCUUCUUCUCUUCUUUCUUUUUUUUUUUUCUUCAAGGUCUUGCUCUAUCACCUAGGCUGUUGGAGUGCAGUGGUGUGAUCAGAGCUAACUGUAGCCUUGAACUCCUGGGCUCAAGUGACCCUGUAGCUAAGACUACAGGCAUGUGCCACCAUGCCUAGCUGAUUUUUGUUUCACUUUUGUAGAGAUCAGGUCUCACUAUGUUGCCCAGGCUAGUCUCAAACUCCUGGCCUCAAGCAAUUCUUCCACCUCAAUCUUCCAAAGCACUGGGAUUACAGGAAUGAGCCACCAUGCCUGGCUUGUUACCCCUGUUUCUUGUUAUUUUAUGAAUGUUUUAGCACUAUCCCUUUGUUGCUGUCCUUGCGUUAGUGAGUUUUCAUGAGAUCUGGUUGUUUAAAAAGUGUAUGGCAUCCCCCUGCGUCUCUCUCUUGCUCCUGAUUUUGCCAUGUGAUGUGGCUUCUCCCAUUUCACACCAUGAUUAUAAGCUUUCUGAGGCUUUCCCAGAAUCACAUGCCUCUCUGCUUCUUGUACAACCUGCACAACUGUGAGCCGAUGAAACCUAUUUUCUUUAUAAAUUAUCCACUCUCAGGUAUUUCUUUAUAGCAAUGCAAGAAUGGACUAAUACAGCUCUAUUGGUGUCAUACAUGUCCUUAUAAGAGGGAGACAGAAGGAGAUGUGUGAUCAAAGACGAAGGCAAUGUGGUGACUAAAACAAGAUAUGAUACUGAUGGCUUUGAAGAUGGAGGAAGGGGCAAAGGAAUGCAAGGAAUGCAGCUCUAGAAGCCAGAAAAGUCAAGAGUAUUUGGAAAGAGUGUGGCCCUAUUGACACGUUGAUUUUGGCCAAGUGAAACUGAUUUUCAAUUUAGAGGCGCGGGCGGCGGCGGCGGCGGUAGGAGCGGCGGCUGCAGGAGCAGCAGCAGCAGAAGCAGCGGCGGGUACUCUGUGCUCUGCGUCCCGGAGGCAGCCGACUGCGCCACCCCACCCUCGCACGGCCGGGCGGGACCCGCGCCACCAGCCCGGACCUCCGUCGUCCCGCGGCGACCAAAAUCUCCGCUGGCCGCACCGCUGUGACUACUCCGGACUCGCCGGCAGAGUUUGCCCGCCGGGGAGGGUGGCCGAUUGGCGGAGCGCACUCCUGCUGUUUCUCCCACCAUCUCGUGGAUGUCGUCCCUCGGGUGGUGAGAGAACUUUGCAGUGGGCUGGAGCGCCCUUUGCGGAGAAGCACACGAAGGUGAAGGAAGGAAAGAAAGAAGACCGAGGAACGAGGAAGAAGGGGCUCGGAAGAAGGGUCCGGAGCGGCCGGGCCGGCCGUGCAGGGCGAGUGCGCGCGAGGCGCGGCGCCCUGAUGCUCCCCGAGCUCGAGGAGCAGCGGCCAUUUGCGGGACUGCUCUCGGUGGAGUAGCCCCGUCGGGCCCGGAGGUUUGUGCAACCGCGGAGAACACCGAGUGCUGGUCGCACGGGGCGUGCCGAGCCGCCUUCCGGCGCGCCCUCCGCACUUUCCCCGCCUAGUCAUCCCUCGCUCCCCGGCCAGGAGCCUCCGCCGCGUCCUCAACCUCUCUCCCUUUUGCGUCCCGGGACCCUGCGAGCACCCGGGCCGAGCGUCGGGUUUGUGUGGGGUUAGCGGGGGCCGCCGCGCCACCUGCGCCUCGCCCGCCGCCGCCUCGGGGAAAACCCGAAGAGGAGGCGGACCAGGAGAAGAGCAAAGAAAAGCAGCCCGUCUGGAUUUGUUUGCCCAGGACUGGCGCCGCGCACGCGGAUCCCCGAGGGGAGUGCGGUCGGAGUCACCGCGCCCCCGCCUCCCCGCCCGGGCGACUGAGGCCAAGAGGAAUUCCAGUUCCUGCAGGCGCAGUAUCACAGCCUUAAAUUGGAAUGUGAGUAACCGGCAAGUGAAAAGACAGAAAUGCAGAGGCACUAUGUGAUGUAUUACGAAAUGCCAUAUGGAUUAAACAUUGAAAUGCACAAACAGACUGAAAUCGCCAAGAGAUUGAAUACGAUUUGUGCACAAGUCAUCCCAUUUCUGUCUCAGGAACAUCAACAACAGGUGGCCCAGGCUGUCGAACGUGCCAAACAGGUGACCAUGGCAGAGUUGAAUGCCAUCAUCGGGCAGCAGCAGUUGCAAGCUCAGCAUCUUUCUUAUGGCCACGGACCCCCAGUUCCCCUUACGCCUCACCCUUCGGGACUUCAGCCUCCUGGAAUCCCGCCCCUCGGGGGCGAGAGGCCCGGCAAGCCAGAUUAGGACUUUGUCCUCAUACUCUUACAGUGCUGCAAAGUUGUGUGGAUCGCUAAAGAGAGCCCCAACCUAUACAGAAAGCAAACAAUGAGAUAAGAGGAACUGUCUCAAAGCUUUCCACUGAAACACAGGUCACCCUGGAAGUUUGCAGGGUUUGCUGUGGGCAUCUGUAGAUUUCUCGAUCUCGUUAGAUUGCAGGCAUCUUGACAUCUUGGCAACUGCCUAGUUAAUGCCAGUGGCCUGUACCAUAUUAUGGAAAACUGUUAACUGCUUAAUUGGGUAAUUUUCAAAGAAAGUAAUGUUGUUAAAUGGGGUGAAAUAAGAAGUUAAAUUUGAAAGUGAAUGUGUUCAAAUGAAAGGUUUGAUAAUUGCAUCUGUUACUACUUAGUUUCAUAGGCUUUAAUUCUAGUAUGCAUUAAAUAUUGGGC
This 2952-nucleotide long non-coding RNA is filed under the name Homo sapiens (human). RNAcentral describes it as "non-protein coding lnc-ZC3H12B-18:2". Lineage: Eukaryota; Metazoa; Chordata; Mammalia; Primates; Hominidae. The record is from RNAcentral.